This 253-nucleotide ribosomal RNA is filed under the name uncultured bacterium. RNAcentral describes it as "partial 16S ribosomal RNA". It matches the Rfam family "Bacterial small subunit ribosomal RNA", at positions 524 to 776 of the family's 1533-position model. The record is from RNAcentral.
UACGGGGGGGGCAAGCGUUGUUCGGAAUUACUGGGCGUAAAGGGCGCGUAGGCGGCUCGUCAAGUCGGGCGUGAAAUCUCCAGGCUUAACCUGGAAAAGUCGUUCGAUACUGUUGAGCUAGAGUGUGGAAGAGGCUACUGGAAUUCCGUGUGUAGCGGUGAAAUGCGUAGAUAUCGUAAGGAAGACCAGUGGCGAAGGCGGGUCUCUGGACAGUUCCUGACGCUGAGGCACGAAGGCCAGGGGAGCAAACGGG